This 255-nucleotide ribosomal RNA is filed under the name Streptococcus pyogenes. RNAcentral's name for it is "partial 23S ribosomal RNA". It matches the Rfam family "Bacterial large subunit ribosomal RNA", at positions 1276 to 1528 of the family's 2925-position model. Lineage: Bacteria; Bacillati; Bacillota; Bacilli; Lactobacillales; Streptococcaceae. The record is from RNAcentral.
AACGCACUAGAAGUGAGAAUUGCCGGUUAUGAAGUAGCGAAAAGAACAGGUGAGAAUCCUGGUCCACCGUAAGACUAAGGUUUCCAAGGGAAAGGCUCGUCCGCCCUGGGUUAGUUCGGGACCUAAGGAGAAGACCGAAAGGUGUAUCCGAUGGCCAACGCACUAGAAGUGAGAAUUGCCGGUUAUGAAGUAGCGAAAAGAACAGGUGAGAAUCCUGGUCCACCGUAAGACUAAGGUUUCCAAGGGAAAGGCUCG